AUUUCCUGGAAACUUCUUAAAGUGAUAAGAGUGGCUCAAGAGCUGUGGAAAGUGACUGGUUCAGCGUCCUCCAAGAAGGAGAGUGAGGGUUCUGUACGUGUGCGAACCCAGGCCCUCCCUCCCUGGCUCUGAGUCACACAGGGCGGCCCCUGUGCGCGCUCCCGAGAGUCUUCAUGCCUCCUGCAGGGGGUGCCGAGAGUGCAUGGAGUCCCGUGUGCAGGGCGCCUGGCUCAGUUCCUGGCACCGAGGCCGCCCUCACACAGCAGUCCUCGUCCUACAUGUCCUCACCUUGCACUUGAGGAAAAUGGGGCUGCACACCACCCGUGACCAGCCCCUGGCCAGGCUUCCAGAGUAGCUUCUGCUGCAACCGCCAGCCACAGCAGGGCGAUGGGAAGGUACGUGGAGAAGGGUCAUCUGUGAGCUGUGUGGAACUUCUGCAGGACUGGGGAAGGCAUACCCCCUCCUCCAGGCUGCCCACGGGGAGUCGGCCGAGAGGAACAGCACAGAAGCCAAGAGGUCUUCAGUCAGAAGGCUCUGGGCCAAGGUGUUUCCAGGCUCGUGCACGCCGGGGGCACCUCGCUGUGCUGUGCCCCCAACCACCACACAUGCGCACACACACACACUCACACUCUCAGUGUUAGACCGUGUCGGAGAAGAGGCUGCGCUGAGGCCCAGAUGGCACCCAUGGUUCUCCAGCCUUGCGAGCGUGGAGUCCGAAUGGAAUAGCCUCCUCACUAUAGUCAUCAUGAUACUAACAUUUGUUGCAGGCACGUGCUUAACAGAUUGCAGCUGACUGCAGAGUCUGAGCCAAGCACAUCUGGAUCUCACUGAGGGCGUGGCAGAGAGCAGGGGCUUUGGAACUGGGUUCGCGCCCCAGCUGGGCCCCUCGCUAGCUGGGAGGGAGGCGGGGACUAGGCCCCGUGCUCGUCUGGGCUGGAGUUUCCUCUUCUGUAAAGUAGGGGUGGCAGCACCCACCACGCGGCAUUGCCUGAAAAGCCCCAGCCGGGCCCUCGGAGGACAGACAGCGAGUCGUGGCCAUUAUAACUGCUGUCAUUAUUUCGUUCUAGGGGCUGAUUGGAGGCCCUCUCUGGAGUUCGUCUUUGUUUCUCAAACUCCUUGCCAGAAAGCAUCCACUGACGUUAGCAGGAUGUCCGAGGAGCUCUGGCUGCGUUUCACCCUCAGCCCCAGGACUCGGCGUGAAUGACUCAGCUCCGACCGGGAAUCUCCCCUCGUUCAGUGCACACGUGAAUCUUCAGGGAAAUUCACAGAAAACUCGGGGAGAGACUUUUGGACGCGUUGCCGAGUUGCCCUCCUGAAAGGUCGUAGCCCUCUCCAGGCCCCCAGCAGCGCAGAGUCAGCGUUUCUGAAGUCUGCAGGUGGAGAGCCCCGGGCUCAGAGCCCUCCCAGCUGCCGGGUCCUGCGGCCGAGCCGUGAGGGCUGUGGGAGCCAAGCGCCUCCUCUCCCACUCCCCAACCCAGGUGCCUGCAGAGCGCCCACUGCCAGGCCGGGGCGGGGGCCCUCACAGACCCUCACCUCCCCCUGCCAUGCAGGCGCCCCGAUGUCUUCUCCCAGGCCUGCUGCCCGCCCCUCGUGCCGGGACAGCGAGCUUGUGAGUUAUCGGCAGCCUUAUUUCCCUCUACAGCUCCCACGGAGUUAACAGAUGUACGCACGUCUGAGGCAGUCAUGCGGCAAGAGACUUUGGGGCCAAUCCUUCCCGUUUUGACAGUGUGUAAUCGAGGUGAAGCCAUAAAUUUUAUAAACAAGAAUAAAC
Long non-coding RNA from Equus caballus (horse), 1771 nucleotides. The record is from Ensembl. Lineage: Eukaryota; Metazoa; Chordata; Mammalia; Perissodactyla; Equidae.